GAAAGCGAUCUCCUCUUCCAGAGUUCAAUUAUUUGUCAAGCAAUCAUUUUACUCUUCCAACAACUACUGCAUAAAUGGGAAAACGAAACCGAUUUUGUUUUGUUCUCCGCGCUCCCAGCACCAGGUGGAACCACGCGCGGCGCUUCCGAUCUCGGAGGAUGUAACAAGACGAGCGGUUGACGAAGCUGCAUUGUGUAGCCAGCCGGUUUAUCUUUUUAUGUUGUACAGUUUGUUAGUUUACCGUAAAUAUGUCUUGAUUUGUACUCAAGAGUGGAGCAAGGCCCUAUGGAACAGAGAUUGACGCAUCGUGAGCGAAGAACAGACGCGAUGGAUGGUUAGGCUGCUUGACUCUCGGCUGUACGACUCUCGGCAUGUUAGGACUGGCAAAGUUCCGAAUUUGUCGCGGUGUGGUGUACGCUUCUGUGCUCGUCAAGUGCCGUCAGAGCGCGGGGAUGUUUGAACGGAAUGUGUCCCUUCGUCUACAAAACUCUGCACGCUGCGGCAUCGAAGUCCUGUGUACGGGUGCACGUAUGCGCUUGGAUACGGGAUAGCCUGCCCUCAACGGAUGUUCAACAGUGUACGCACGCUGCGCGUACGCGUACGUAUGAGACUAGUUGCUGGUGUCCUGCUGGAGCUGAGAAGAGAUCUGCUGCCUGCCAUGAGACCAUGUCUCUCAAGUUACCGCAAUAUUGUUGCCUUCAAAGGGAGACGGCUCUCACAACUGGAGAAGCCUGGGAAGCAUGCAGUACUCCACAAAACCGGUUUCAACGUAAAAUGUGUCUGCAUCUCAUAAUUUCAUGGCUGCAAGAGUGAGCCCAAUGGUAAACACAUCUGAGUGUUCAUGAUGUCAUGCAUUAUCCACUUUAUCUGCACGUCAUACCUAUCUUGACAAAGCUGAUAUUGCCUUUAGAGAAAUUGUAGAUGUUGUGAGCUUGCAUUUCAGAACGCACAACAAGCUUAACACGUACAACACCAGAACAAUUUGUUGAGAAUUUCGGAUCAGGAAUCUUCGAAGCACAAUUUGUUUAGUGGUGUUAAGAUUCUGCUUAAGGUUGUUGAUUAUUACAUUCAUAUAGUGUUCAAGCAUUGCUGUAACAACAUUCUUCGCUUGGAGUACAUAGUAAGGGUGUACUCCACAUGAGCUGGUGGCAUUUUGCUCCAUAUUCAAAAACUGGUUUCUUCUUCAGUUGAGAUUUUCAAGUUUGCAUUCUUUAUUAGCUGUUGUAUGUAACCUAUCCUAAAUGUUUGAAUAGUGAACACAACGUGACCUUUUUGAUUGAUUUUGUGGAUUGUACACCCUUGCUGCAAACAAUUUGAGAUGAUAACUGUUUCCGCCUUAAUGAAAAAUAAUUGCUUGAAGCAGCCAUAGCCACCAAUAAUACUAGCAUGACACGAUUAUGAAAAUUGUGAUAUUGUACUUUGAUUUAUAAUGUUUUUAAACAUAUGGAGCUCUGCCUGUGGUGUAAAUGGGUUCCUGAUAUCCAUUCGUGAUGCAAGAAUUUGAAGAAUAAACUGAAGCAAGAAUGUUUACUUACUUUUCAAGAGAAGCUCAUGGCAAUUUCCUCAUGAAAAGUAAAAUAACUAGAAAUAACUUUACUGAGCUGAGAAGAGUGCUACAAUUGUCUCAUUCGAAUAGUGCCAUAUACAGAAGCUACAACAAAUGUUUACUAUUUUGGUUGCAUUUGUAUAUAUGGUCUUGUCACGUGUUGCAAGCUGUAUUCAGAAUGGCCACAGCUCAGUCAUGAUUGUGGCAUUGUGCAAUGAAGUACCGCUGGCAUCACCCGGAAAGUGUCGCAAAGUUACAAAUACAACUUUGAAUGGGUUCUUUUAGGAAAAAAGACUUAGCUCAGAAAAUUAUCCUUUUUUAUGCAGCCUGUCGAGACAAGGUUUCUUUACAUGGCCAUGGCGCUCAAGGAAGAAACCGAGACUGUAGACUGCCAACGUUCAUUCCUGUUCCGGCAAAGACGGGCCAGCAGUAACCAGCAGGAUUUUACAAAGUGAACUCAUCACAGCUUGAGCCACUCCAUGCCACAAGCAGUUGCUCCUCGAGCCACCGUGCAAAGGUUCCUUGGGGCACAAGUCCAACUCAGCGCCACAACCUUUCUUCUGCAGUUUUUCUACCUACUUAGCUAACCAGCAAGUUUAUCCUUGCAAGGCAUGUGCGAACAGCUUUCACCAGGAAACAGUGCAAGACGAGUGGUCGAAGAAAAUAAAAUUGCUUCUGUGAUCUAAAGUACUUGAUGAAUAAAAUUUUGC
Dermacentor silvarum is the source of this 2256-nucleotide long non-coding RNA. RefSeq lists it as uncharacterized. The transcript has 4 exons. Lineage: Eukaryota; Metazoa; Arthropoda; Arachnida; Ixodida; Ixodidae. The record is from RefSeq and is a predicted model, not a curated record.